Molecule: long non-coding RNA, 409 nt
Filed under: Mus pahari (shrew mouse)
Lineage: Eukaryota; Metazoa; Chordata; Mammalia; Rodentia; Muridae
Description: predicted gene, 38201 (MGP_PahariEiJ_G0005750.1)
Source: RNAcentral
CCUGGAUCAGUGUCCUGGGGUUUCCCUACAGCCAGCCCAAAACCUACCCAGUGACACAGUUGGGUAAGCAUGGUCAAACUUUCCAUGUCCUGUGUCCUGCCUCCCCGAAUGGCCCAGAUAGAGGACCCCAUUAACUCUAUAACCACAUUGCAAAAAACAAAAACAAAACCAAAAAACCAAAAACAAAAAACAAAACAAAGCCAAUCAGUUAGACAUGCAGUUCUUUAAGGUUACUAGAGUAAGAAUUCCUGAAAAAAAAAAAGCUGUUUCUACAAAGGUUGACAGAUUAAAUUUCAAUGUCUAAUAGUUUAGACUAUUCUAGGUCCAGAACUCCCCCAAAAAACACUUCUAUGUCAUCCACUUAACACUCUGAUAAGCAGAUAAAACCCUUAAAAAUAUUAAAACAAAA